RNAcentral lists this ribosomal RNA (253 nucleotides) under uncultured bacterium. RNAcentral's name for it is "partial 16S ribosomal RNA". It matches the Rfam family "Bacterial small subunit ribosomal RNA", at positions 524 to 776 of the family's 1533-position model. The record is from RNAcentral.
UACAGAGGUCCCAAGCGUUGUUCGGAUUCAUUGGGCGUAAAGGGUGCGUAGGUGGCGCCGUAAGUCGGGUGUGAAAUUUCGGAGCUUAACUCCGAAACUGCAUUCGAUACUGCGGUGCUUGAGGACUGGAGAGGAGACUGGAAUUCAUGGUGUAGCAGUGAAAUGCGUAGAGAUCAUGAGGAAGACCAGUGGCGAAGGCGGGUCUCUGGACCAACACUGACACUGAUGAGCGAAAGCCAGGGGAGCAAACGGG